AAUGUUGUAUCUACCUCUGGCUGAGCCGAAUUCCCAUCCUCCAACAUUGAUUCUGUUUGUGGCUGAGCUGAACCCUCGUCAUCUAAGGUUGAAUUCACUGGAAGCUUUGCCAAGUAUUCAUCCUCCAAUGUUGAGUCCAUUUGUAGCUUAGCCGAAUUCUCAUCACCCAAUGUUGUAUCUACCUCUGGCUGAGCCGAAUUCCCAUCCUCCAACAUUGAUUCUGUUUGUGGCUGAGCUGAACCCUCGUCAUCUAAGGUUGAAUUCACUGGAAGCUUUGCCAAGUAUUCAUCCUCCAAUGUUGAGUCCAUUUGUAGCUUAGCCGAAUUCUCAUCACCCAAUGUUGUAUCUACCUCUGGCUGAGCCGAAUUCCCAUCCUCCAACAUUGAUUCUGUUUGUGGCUGAGCUGAACCCUCGUCAUCUAAGGUUGAAUUCACUGGAAGCUUUGCCAAGUAUUCAUCCUCCAAUGUUGAGUCCAUUUGUAGCUUAGCCGAAUUCUCAUCACCCAAUGUUGUAUCUACCUCUGGC
Molecule: long non-coding RNA, 525 nt
Filed under: Lupinus angustifolius (narrow-leaved blue lupine)
Lineage: Eukaryota; Viridiplantae; Streptophyta; Magnoliopsida; Fabales; Fabaceae
Description: long non-coding RNA (LANG_LNC001441)
Source: RNAcentral